Molecule: long non-coding RNA, 286 nt
Filed under: Cucumis sativus (cucumber)
Lineage: Eukaryota; Viridiplantae; Streptophyta; Magnoliopsida; Cucurbitales; Cucurbitaceae
Description: long non-coding RNA (CSAT_LNC001549)
Source: RNAcentral
AGUGUGGGUCGGUCAGCGGUCGGCUAAAGAAGACGUGGCCGGAGAAUCGCGCGGCAGUGCAGCGGUUGGAACGAAGGUUGCGCGCGGCUGGCUUCACGAACCGACCGACGGUUACGAGCGGUGGAUCUGGGUUACUGCGAACUACCAGGGUGAAGCACGAGCGGCGGCGGUUGUGAUGUAGAUCUGGACGACGGUUGUGAGCGAAGGUCACGCGGCAGUUACAGGUGGAUGGGCGCGGCAGUUUUCGAUCCGAAGGAGAAAAGAGAGGGUGGCGGUUGGGUUCGGC